CCGGUAGCUCAGUUGGUAGAGCAGAGGACUGAAAAUCCUUGUGUCGGUGGUUCGAUCCCGCCC
This 63-nucleotide transfer RNA is filed under the name uncultured Ottowia sp. It matches the Rfam family "tRNA", at positions 7 to 64 of the family's 71-position model. From Rfam's summary of the family: Transfer RNA (tRNA) molecules are approximately 80 nucleotides in length. The record is from RNAcentral. Lineage: Bacteria; Pseudomonadati; Pseudomonadota; Betaproteobacteria; Burkholderiales; Comamonadaceae.